Molecule: ribosomal RNA, 623 nt
Filed under: Allobates velocicantus
Lineage: Eukaryota; Metazoa; Chordata; Amphibia; Anura; Aromobatidae
Description: Allobates sp. n. MF-2020 partial large subunit ribosomal RNA
Rfam family: Bacterial large subunit ribosomal RNA
Source: RNAcentral
AGACCGGUCGCCUGUUUACAAAAACAUCGCCUCUUGACUAACUAUAAGAGGUCAAGCCUGCCCAGUGACACUGUUCAACGGCCGCGGUAUCCUAACCGUGCGAAGGUAGCGUAAUCACUUGUUCUUUAAAUGAGGACUAGUAUGAACGGCUUCACGAGGGCUAUGCUGUCUCCUUUAUCCAAUCAGUUAAACUAAUCUCCCCGUGAAGAAGCGGGGAUACUUCUAUAAGACGAGAAGACCCUAUGGAGCUUUAAACAUUUUAAACACUUGAAUCUUUAUUAUUUUAACCUUCAGAAAAUUUCAUUAACCCUUUCAUUCUGUUUUAAGUUUUAGGUUGGGGUGACCACGGAGAAUAAUCUAACCUCCACGUAGAAAGAAACUUCCUUUCCAAGCAAAAAACCACAUCUUUAUGCAUCAAGAUAUUGACUUAAAUUGACCCAAUUUUUUUUGAUCAACGAACCAAGUUACCCUAGGGAUAACAGCGCAAUCCGCUUUAAGAGCUCCUAUCGACAAGCGGGCUUACGACCUCGAUGUUGGAUCAGGGCAUCCCAGUGGUGCAGCAGCUACUAAUGUGUUCGUUUGUUCAACGAUUAAAACCCUACGUGAUCUGAGUUCAGACAGGA